RNAcentral lists this ribosomal RNA (809 nucleotides) under uncultured bacterium. RNAcentral's name for it is "bacterial SSU rRNA". It matches the Rfam family "Bacterial small subunit ribosomal RNA", at positions 8 to 796 of the family's 1533-position model. The record is from RNAcentral.
AGAGUUUGAUCCUGGCUCAGAAUCAACGCUGGCGGCGUGCCUCAGACAUGCAAGUCGAACGCGAAAUUUCCCUUCGGGGAGAAAGUAGAGUGGCGCACGGGUGAGUAACACGUAGGUAAUUUGCCUUCGGGUGGGGAAUAACUCAGGGAAACUUGAGCUAAUACCGCAUAAUGCAGCGGCUCGACAUCGAGACAGUUGUUAAAGCGGGGGAUCGCAAGACCUCGCGCCUGAAGAGAAGCCUGCGGCAGAUUAGCUAGUUGGUAGGGUAAUGGCCUACCAAGGCGACGAUCUGUAACCGGCCUGAGAGGGCGGUCGGUCACACUGACACUGACAUACGGGUCAGACUCCUACGGGAGGCAGCAGUCGGGAAUUUUGGGCAAUGGGCGCAAGCCUGACCCAGCAACGCCGCGUGAAGGAUGAAAUCCCUCGGGAUGUAAACUUCGCAAGAACGGGAAGAAUAAGUAGGGGACAAUACCCCCUAUGAUGACGGUACCGUUUGUAAGCUCCGGCUAACUUCGUGCCAGCAGCCGCGGUAAUACGAGGGGAGCAAGCGUUGUUCGGAUUUACUGGGCGUAAAGGGCGCGUAGGCGGCGUGACAAGUCACUUGUGAAAUCUCCGGGCUUAACCCGGAACGGUCAAGUGAAACUGUCGUGCUAGAGUACAGAAGGGGCAACUGGAAUUCUCGGUGUAGCGGUGAAAUGCGUAGAUAUCGAGAGGAACACCUGCGGCGAAGGCGGGUUGCUGGGCUGAUACUGACGCUGAUGCGCGAAAGCCAGGGGAGCGAACGGGAUUAGAUACCCCGGUAGUCC